This 564-nucleotide ribosomal RNA is filed under the name uncultured bacterium. RNAcentral's name for it is "partial 16S ribosomal RNA". The record is from RNAcentral.
GGAGUUAGCCGGUGCUUCUUCUGUGAGUGAUGUCCUUCCUGCCGGCUAUUAACCCGCAGGCCUUCUUCCUCACUGAAAGUGCUUUACAACCCGAAGGCCUUCUUCACACACGCGGCAUGGCUGGAUCAGGGUUGCCCCCAUUGUCCAAUAUUCCCCACUGCUGCCUCCCGUAGGAGUCUGGGCCGUGUCUCAGUCCCAGUGUGGCUGAUCAUCCUCUCAGACCAGCUACGGAUCGUCGCCUUGGUGAGCCGUUACCUCACCAACCAGCUAAUCCGACAUAGGCUCAUCCGAUAGCGCGAGGCCCGAAGGUCCCCCGGCUUUCCCCCGUAGGGCGUAUGCGGUAUUAGCCUGGGUUUCCCCCAGGUUAUCCCCCACUACCGGGCAGAUUCCUAUGCAUUACUCACCCGUCCGCCGCUCGCCACCAGGGAGCAAGCUCCCCGUGCUGCCGCUCGACUUGCAUGUGUUAGUCGUCGCCGCCACGCGUCUAUACUGAGCGACGAGUACUAACUAACUACGUACGUACGUAGGACGGGCGGUCGGUCGGACGGACGGCGACGUACGUAG